CCUUCGGGUGGGAGCGGCGGACGGGUUAGUAACGCGUGGGAACAUACCCUUCUCUAUGGAAUAGCCUCGGGAAACUGAGAGUAAUACCAUAUACGCCCUUCGGGGGAAAGAUUUAUCGGAGAAGGAUUGGCCCGCGUUUGAUUAGAUAGUUGGUGGGGUAAUGGCCUACCAAGUCUACGAUCAAUAGCUGGUUUGAGAGGAUGAUCAGCAACACUGGGACUGAGACACGGCCCAGACUCC
RNAcentral lists this ribosomal RNA (240 nucleotides) under uncultured bacterium. RNAcentral describes it as "partial 16S ribosomal RNA". It matches the Rfam family "Bacterial small subunit ribosomal RNA", at positions 77 to 339 of the family's 1533-position model. The record is from RNAcentral.